RNAcentral lists this transfer RNA (74 nucleotides) under Myxococcales bacterium. RNAcentral's name for it is "tRNA-Pro". It matches the Rfam family "tRNA". Rfam says of the family: Transfer RNA (tRNA) molecules are approximately 80 nucleotides in length. Their secondary structure includes four short double-helical elements and three loops (D, anti-codon, and T loops). The record is from RNAcentral. Lineage: Bacteria; Pseudomonadati; Myxococcota; Myxococcia; Myxococcales.
CGGGGAGUAGCACAGCCUGGUAGUGCGCUAGCUUUGGGAGCUAGAAGUCGCGGGUUCAAAUCCCGCUUCCCCGA